This 144-nucleotide non-coding RNA is filed under the name Schistosoma mansoni. Lineage: Eukaryota; Metazoa; Platyhelminthes; Trematoda; Strigeidida; Schistosomatidae. The record is from RNAcentral.
CCCGACCGUUGCUGCUACCUUGACGUGGUGGUCGGGCUUGCCUAUCGUGAUGAACCAAUCGAGCUAUGCUGGCUGGAACAAUCGUUCCUCGAGGUCCUACCAUGCCAGACAGGUCGGUUGAAGAGCGGUAAGACUAAAAGCAGC